GACCUCAAAUCAGGUAGGAACACCCGCUGAACUUAAGCAUAUCAAUAAGCGGAGGAAAAGAAAAUAACAAUGAUUCCCCUAGUAACUGCGAGUGAAGAGGGACAAGCUCAAAUUUUAAAUCUAUCGGGUUUUACCUGAUCGAGUUGUAAUUUGAAGAAGCGUUUUCUGCGUAUUUGGUCAGCCUAAGUCCUAUUGAAUGAGGCAUCAUGGAGGGUGAUAAUCCCGUCCGGUUGAUCAUUUGCGUUUUACGAUACGCUUUCUAAGAGUCAAGUUGUUUGGGAUUGCAGCUUAAAAUGGGAGGUAAAUUUCUCCUAAGGCUAAAUAACGGCGAGAGACCGAUAGCGAACAAGUACCGUGAGGGAAAGAUGAAAAGAACUUUGAAAAGAGAGUUAAACAGUACGUGAAAUUGUUGAAAGGGAAACGAUUGAAGCCAGUCGUACCUUCGGGUAAUCAGCCUUUCGGGUGCGAUUCUGUGGAGUUUGAGGAGCUUUAACACCUUCAUGCUUUGCAUAUUCGUGCUCUUGGGUGUACUUGCCCGUGUGGUUGGUUAACAUCAAUUUCGGGCACCAUAAAAUGGCUGGAGGAAUGUAGCUUCGAUCUUGUAUUGAAGUGUUAUAGCCUUCGGUAGAUGUGGUGAUCGAGAUUGAGGAUUGCAACGGAUACCUUUCGGGGCUACCUGUCUGAUCUCUGAUCGUUGCUUUGGUGCUGAAAGCGUGCUUAUAGUUAUCAAAGUCGAUGGUCAAUAGGUUAGAACGGGUUAAAUUCGUUAAGGAUGUUGACGUAAUGGUUUUAAACGACCCGUCUUGAAACACGGACCA
RNAcentral lists this ribosomal RNA (818 nucleotides) under Rhizophagus irregularis DAOM 181602=DAOM 197198. Its description in RNAcentral is "eukaryotic LSU rRNA". It matches the Rfam family "Eukaryotic large subunit ribosomal RNA", at positions 1 to 668 of the family's 3401-position model. The record is from RNAcentral. Lineage: Eukaryota; Fungi; Glomeromycota; Glomeromycetes; Glomerales; Glomeraceae.